CCGUUACUCAGUUCAGAUUGCAGGCUGCAACCCGCCUGCAUGAAGUCGGAAUUGCUAGUAAUCGCGGAUCAGCAUGCCGCGGUGAAUACGUUCCCGGGCCUUGUACACACCGCCCGUCACACCAUGGGAGCCGGUAAUACCCGAAGUCGGUAGUCCAACCACGUGAGGACGCUGCCGAAGGUAGGAUUGGCGACUGGGGUGAAGUCGUAACAAGGUACC
Molecule: ribosomal RNA, 219 nt
Filed under: uncultured bacterium
Lineage: Bacteria
Description: partial 16S ribosomal RNA
Rfam family: Bacterial small subunit ribosomal RNA
Source: RNAcentral